AGGGCAUACGGUGAAUGCCUUGGCGUUAGAAGUCGAUGAAGGACGUGGUCAGCUGCGAUAAGCUGCGGGUAGGUGCACUCAACUGUUAAUCCGCAGAUUUCCGAAUGGGGGAACCCAGCUAGGGUCAUGCCUAGUUACUUCUUGUUGAAUAAAAUAGACAAGAUAGAGACAACCCGGAGAACUGAAACAUCUAAGUACCCGGAGGAAGAGAAAUCAACCGAGAUUUCCCUAGUAGCGGCGAGCGAACGGGAAACAGCCUAAACCCAUGCAUGUGUAAGCUUGGUGGCGUUGCUGCAUGUGGUGUUGUAGGGCUAAAUAUUCUUAGGGCACCUAACCUAAGACGAAGUUACAAAGUGUUGUAUUAGAGGAACGACUUGGAACAGUCGGCUAUAAAGGGUAAAAGCCCCGUACUUUAAAAUGCAGCGCCUUCGAAUUUAGUUCCUGAGUACUGCCGAACACGUGAAAUUCGGUAGGAAUCUGGGGGGCCCACCCUCCAAGGCUAAAUACUCUCUAACGACCGAUAGUGAACCAGUACCGUGAGGGAAAGGUGAAAAGCACCCCGAGAGGGGAGUGAAAUAGUACCUGAAACCGUAUGCCUACAAGCAGUCGGAGCCCGGAAAGCCAGUUUACUGGCAGGGUGACGGCGUGCCUUUUGUAGAAUGAGCCAGGGAGUUAUGGUGUGUAGCAAGGUUAAGCUUAAAGCGAGCCGCAGCGAAAGCGAGUCUUAAUAGGGCGCAUAGUUAUACAUCAUAGACGCGAAGCCAAGUGAUCUAUCCAUGGGCAGGCUGAAGCGAAGGUAAGACUUCGUGGAGGGCCGAACCCACUUCGGUUGAAAACGGAGGGGAUGACCUGUGGAUUGGAGUGAAAGGCUAAUCAAACUUGGAGAUAUCUCGUUCUCCCCGAAAUAGCUUUAGGGCUAGCGUUGCGCGUUUUGUACCGGUGGUAGAGCACUGGAUCGUCUAGGGGGCUUCACCGCUUACCGAAAUGAACCAAACUCCGAAUGCCGGUACUUUAGAGCGCAGCAGUCAGAAUAUGUGGGCUAAGCUGUGUAUUCAAAAGGGAAACAGCCCAGACCGCCUGCUAAGGUCCCAAAAUAUAUGCUAAGUGGAAAAGGAUGUGCGUUUGCUCAGACAACCAGGAUGUUGGCUUAGAAGCAGCCAUUCAUUUAAAGAGUGCGUAACAGCUCACUGGUCAAGUGGACAUGCGCCGACAAUUCACGGGGCUUAAGCAUAUUACCGAAGCAGCGGACUUCACAUAUGUGGAGUGGUAGGGGAGCAUUCUGUACUGGGUUGAAGCUGGCGGGUAACCGUCUGUGGACUGUACAGAAGAGCGAAUCCUGGCAUGAGUAACGAGAGAAGUGCGAGAAACACUUCCGCCGAAUAUCUAAGGGUUCCUGGGCAAGGCUAAUCCUCCCAGGGUCAGUCGGGAGCUAAGGCGAGGCCGCAAGGCGUAGUCGAUGCACAACAGGUAGAUAUUCCUGUACUAGUAUAAAUGCGUUAUUACCAAUGGAGUGACGGAGAAAGGUAGCCGAGCGUGGUUCUGGAUGUCCACGUGAAAGGUUGUAGGGCGAAAAGUAGGUAAAUCCGCUUUUCAUAAAGCCUGAGAACUGAGACGAAGCGAUUGAGCGAAGUCGGUGAUCCUAUGCUUUCGAGAAAAACUUCUAGGGAGUGUUUAUGCUACCCGUACCCCAAACCGACACAGGUAGAUAGGUAGAAAAUACCAAGGCGAUCGAGAGAACUAUGGUUAAGGAACUCGGCAAAAUGGCUCCGUAACUUCGGGAGAAGGAGCGCCGGUUUUGGUGAUGAGACUUGCUCUCUGAGCUGAGGCUGGCCGCAGUGAAAUGGCCCAAGCGACUGUUUACUAAAAACACAGGACUCUGCUAAAUCGUAAGAUGACGUAUAGGGUCUGACGCCUGCCCGGUGCUGGAAGGUUACGUGGAUGGGUUAGCCUUCGGGCGAAGCUUUGAAACUAAGCCCCAGUAAACGGCGGCCGUAACUAUAACGGUCCUAAGGUAGCGAAAUUCCUUGUCGGGUAAGUUCCGACCUGCACGAAUGGCGUAACGACUUCUCCACUGUCUCAACCACGAACUCGGCGAAAUUGCACUACGAGUAAAGAUGCUCGUUACGCGCAGCAGGACGGAAAGACCCCGGGACCUUUACUAUAGUUUGGUAUUGGUGAUCGGUGUGACUUGUGUAGGAUAGGUGGGAGACUUUGAAGCUUGGACGCCAGUUCAGGUGGAGUCAUCGUUGAAAUACCACUCUGGUCACUCUGGUUAUCUAACCUAGGUCCAUUAUCUGGAUCAGGGACAGUGCCUGAUGGGUAGUUUGACUGGGGCGGUCGCCUCCUAAAAGGUAACGGAGGCGCCCAAAGGUUCCCUCAGAAUGGUUGGAAAUCAUUCGCAGAGUGUAAAGGCACAAGGGAGCUUGACUGCGAGACCUACAAGUCGAGCAGGGACGAAAGUCGGGCUUAGUGAUCCGGUGGUUCCGCAUGGAAGGGCCAUCGCUCAACGGAUAAAAGCUACCCUGGGGAUAACAGGCUUAUCUCCCCCAAGAGUUCACAUCGACGGGGAGGUUUGGCACCUCGAUGUCGGCUCAUCGCAUCCUGGGGCUGGAGCAGGUCCCAAGGGUAUGGCUGUUCGCCAUUUAAAGCGGUACGCGAGCUGGGUUUAGAACGUCGUGAGACAGUUCGGUCCCUAUCCACCGUGGGCGUAGGAAAAUUGAAGGAAUCUGUCCCUAGUACGAGAGGACCGGGAUGGACGAACCUCUGGUGAACCAGUUGUCAACCAAUGGCACUGCUGGGUAGCUACGUUCGGAAUGGAUAACCGCUGAAAGCAUCUAAGCGGGAAGCCAAUCCUGAGAUGAGUUUUCCCACUAGUUUAUCUAGGUAAGAUCCCUCCUAGACUAGGAGGUUGAUAGGCUGCAGGUGUAAGUGUAGUAAUAUACUCAGCCGAGCAGUACUAAUUGAUCGAGGUCUUAUUU
Molecule: ribosomal RNA, 2978 nt
Filed under: metagenome
Description: bacterial LSU rRNA
Rfam family: Bacterial large subunit ribosomal RNA
Source: RNAcentral